RNAcentral lists this ribosomal RNA (105 nucleotides) under Ureaplasma sp. The record is from RNAcentral. Lineage: Bacteria; Bacillati; Mycoplasmatota; Mycoplasmoidales; Mycoplasmoidaceae.
UGUGGUGACGAUACCGAUAUGGAAAUACCCGUUCCCAUCCCGAACACGGAAGUCAAGCAUAUCAGGGCCGAAGGUAGCGAAUGCAAGAAUAGGACAUUGCCACGC